GCACAAGCAGUGGAGUAUGUGGUUUAAUUCGAAGCAACGCGAAGAACCUUACCAGGUCUUGACAUCGGAUGCAUAGCAUAGAGAUAUGUGAAGUCCUUCGGGACAUCCAGACAGGUGGUGCAUGGUUGUCGUCAGCUCGUGUCGUGAGAUGUUGGGUUAAGUCCCGCAACGAGCGCAACCCUUAUUGCUAGUUACUACGAAAGAGGACUCUAGCGAGACUGCCGUUGACAAAA
This 233-nucleotide ribosomal RNA is filed under the name uncultured bacterium. RNAcentral describes it as "partial 16S ribosomal RNA". It matches the Rfam family "Bacterial small subunit ribosomal RNA", at positions 923 to 1163 of the family's 1533-position model. The record is from RNAcentral.